GUGCAAGCAGUUGGUUAGCAUGUCUCUGCCCCUUCCUGAACAGCUACUGGGAAUGCUUUGCAGGCCUGCCAGCUUCAGGAAAAUUCAGCAGCUGGAAGGGAGAAAUAUGGGACAUAAACAGCCCAUAUUUAAACCCUUGAUAAUUUCCUGAAAAGCUGUGGAGAAGAGAAAUAUAAAUUCCCAGCUGGAGCUGUCGUGUCUUUCUCCGUUCCCUACUACCUCAAAACAACAUGUGCCCAGUUUCCACAAUCUAUCUGUAGUCCAUCCUCUGCAACCCAUUUGAGAACCUACUCACAUAGUAAAAUUCUUUCUGGAACCAGCAGGAAUGGCUGUGGAUAGGUGUAAACAUCCUUCUGAGCCCUUUUAGACUUAAUCUUCUUUCCAAUGACCUGGUUUUGUGGCAUGGUCCCUAAAAUGGAUUGAGUCCUGACCUACAAAGUAUUACUUUUAUACAAGUAACCUAAAGUGGGCCUGCAAAGUGGACAGAGCAGAACAGGCUGUUGUGGCUGAGGAAAAGGUAAAAGCAGCAGAACAAAAAUUUACUGUUACAAAGCAGCUGAGAAACUCCAUGGCUUGCAUUGAACAGACCUAAAAAAGUCACCAGAAAAUCACUCUGAAGUUGUCCUUUCCAACUUUGACAGGAACCAGAGAAACUGUGAGUUGCAAUUCCCAGUUUUCUUACCUCUGUCCUUCAGCCAUCCAAUUCCAACACUGUGCAUAACUCACAAUAUUGGCAAGACUGGUCUGGAAAUCCAUCAGACUCAAGCCUGCUAGAGGUGGUUGAGAGCUGCCUGCUCCUGUGACAAAUUGGUUUGGCAUUGCCUGGAGCACCUGAAGAAGGAAGGUGGUUAGAAGGUGCACAAGAUUCUGGGUGCAGGUGAUAUCUUGGCAACAAGAACCAGAUCAUGCACACAACUCAUUGUUAACCCAUCCAAACCCCAAAAUUCAGUUAUAUUUGCUUGUGGCUUUUAUGAAUAUGCAGUUUCCAUUAACGGUAUCUGCAUCGCUCCAUUACUUUCAUGGAUAAGUCCUAAAAGCAUCACAAAGAAACUCACCACAUGGGUGAAAAGAUAAAACAUAUUGACAGUUUUCCUUUCUUUUAAAUUCUUCAAUUACUUGUGCUAUUCCUAUUUUUAAAUUCUAUUUAUCAACAUAUAAAUCUGAGGAAGAGAGUGCAUAAAAAAACUUGGAAAUAUUUAAAAAAACAUAAAGGGGGCAAUGUGGAUUAUAAACUAAGUAUGAGAAAUAUGCAUAAUGUUUUUUGUGGCAACAAGAUGGACUUUAGAGUGGAAGACUGUCCAUUAGCUAAUGCUUUCAGAAGACACAAACUGUGGAUUGUAUUUUCAGCUUAGUUUUCUGGGAGCUGGAUUCAAUGGGUUUGUUUUUCAUGCAUAACCUCCAAAUUUAUGAGAGUUUUGUUUUCAUUUAUUUUUAUUACUAAGCAAAAUGAGCUAUGCAUAAAUAACAGAAGAAACCAAGUUUUCUGGAAGAUUUUCAAAUAAGGACAGCUUGGAAUGGAAGGACCACACACCAGCUGCCAUACAAACAGGUUCACAUUUAACAACCUGAAGUUCUUCACAUUUCCAGAGUGAAUUCUUGGUUUAACCUGUUGUAGCUCCUCUGCAAUGAUGACUGACACUGGACACUUGACAGCAAGAUGUGAUCUGAAAUAUGCAAAAUACUUAAAUAAUAUAGCAGAGGGAGGGAAAUCGUGGCAAGCCCUGGACAGUUAGAUUCAUCUCCUUGAGUACAUUGAAGCUACCUACAUGUACAGAGUUAAGUACCCUGCAAAGAUUAAGCAUAUACAAAUUAAAGUGAAAUUCUAUAUCUACUAAAAUUCAAGGAAACUUUGUUAUGGACUGAAAUGAAGUGAGUUUUUCCCUUAGACCAGACAGAAAAAUAAUUUAAGAGUAUUAUAGGAGAAAAAGAUGUAUGAUUCAGGGUGUUUAGAGGGAAAAAAAUUGAGCAAAUUUCUGUCCUGAGACAUAGUGAAGUGAAUAGAUCUCCACAAGUGACAGUAAAUGGCUCAAAGAGCUGCUGUUGAAGGGAAGGAAAAGACACUGGUGCUUUAUUUUGUCCCAGUCCGUACUAGUUCAUGAUGCCCACCUUUGCAGUUGUGCACUUGGAAGACAGCAGCCACAGUAACACUAAAUGCCUAAGAAUUCAGGUGAAGUCCUUCUUUGGACUUGCAAAACAAAAAGCAGAAAAGAGUGACUAUAUUGUCUUGCUUGCUGGAUACUCUUACCCUGCAUGUGCUCUUCCUGGAUCUUAAUUCAGUUGUGGUCCAUUGAUCACUGGCUCUUAAAAAUUUUGUCAGUUUUUACUAUAUGGAAGAAAAUGCUUUGUCUCAUUUUAUAUCACCUCCCUAACAAAUGAGUUGAUUGUCUCCCAAUUCUUAUGUUGGAGUAAAAGAGAACAAUGAUUCUCCAAUUAGGGUUCCCAUGGGUUUUACAGGAAGUUAGGGUUUCUUUUGUAGAGUCAGACCCAGAAAGCAGGAAUGAACAAUUAUCUGAAUUAGUGAAUCGUGUCACUAAAUCUAGAAUCCAUUGGUCUCUCUAACUUAGCCUUUCAGAGCAUGUGCAUGUUACUUCUGGGACACUGAUGUAGUUGGUAUCAGUUCCAAUAAUACAAAUAUUUAUACCAAAAUACUAAGCACUAGCAGAUCAAAAUGCGUAUUUAUGGCUUUAUAUUUUGAAGAAACCUUGCAUAUUAACCAACAAUUGCAUAACUUAAUG
Vidua macroura (Pin-tailed whydah) is the source of this 2735-nucleotide long non-coding RNA. RefSeq lists it as uncharacterized. The transcript has 3 exons. The record is from RefSeq and is a predicted model, not a curated record. Lineage: Eukaryota; Metazoa; Chordata; Aves; Passeriformes; Viduidae.